AGGCAAAAAUGCCUCUUAAUUCACAAUUAAAACUCUUGGUUUUGUACUUUCAAGCUGUUAAUAUUCUGGAGAACGAUAACGUCAUAAUAGGUCAGUCCCAACCUUCAAGCUGUUAAUAUAUGAGUAAGUGGGUUCUAACCUGUGGUACCACAAUUGCAAGAUUGAGAACUCCCAAAGAUAAACCUGAAAGAAAUUAAGGUCAGUAAAAGUGUAAAACCCAAUUGGCUACUUGAAAUUGCCCGCCUAAGUUUGAGAACAAUUUAUUUGUAGGUCCUCAAAUUUUAUAAUUAGUGUAUUGAGAAGUGUAAAUAUCAAUCAAUCUCUUAUUGCAUAAAAAUCAAAUUCUAGAAUUAUUUAUAUGAUAGUCUCUCAUCACCUCAUUUUUUAUAAUUAUAUCUUUUCAGUCUUUUUAUCUCAUAAUUCAUCUUAUUUCACAUUUCCUUUUCUUAUUCAAAAUUGUUGCAUAAUUAUAUAUGUGAUAUUUUUAAAAAUAUUAAAUAUUAAUUUGCUAUUGAGAGAAAUUUAAAUCUAAGACUUCUUUCUUCUUUUUUCUUUUUUCUUUUUUCUUAUUUUAACUAUUAAGUCAACCUAUUAACUCCUUAUAUAUGUGAUACUUAAAUUUUUCUUUACUUAUUUUAACCAAAAAAAAAUCCUUUAAUUACAAGUCAUGUUUUUCAGGUUUGCACCUUGAACCAUAAUUCUGACGGUAUUCUGUAAAUGCACAGCAUAUUCAAGGACUAACGGUAAUCUUAAUCACAAUUCACAAGCACCAAGCUAGGUUUGGAUAUAUAAAAU
Molecule: long non-coding RNA, 795 nt
Organism: Glycine soja
Lineage: Eukaryota; Viridiplantae; Streptophyta; Magnoliopsida; Fabales; Fabaceae
Exons: 2
Source: RefSeq, a predicted model, not a curated record